AAAUUGAAGAGUUUGAUCAUGGCUCAGAUUGAACGCUGGCGGCAGGCCUAACACAUGCAAGUCGAACGGUAGCACAGAGAGCUUGCUCUCGGGUGACGAGUGGCGGACGGGUGAGUAAUGUCUGGGAAACUGCCUGAUGGAGGGGGAUAACUACUGGAAACGGUGGCUAAUACCGCAUAACGUCGCAAGACCAAAGAGGGGGACCUUCGGGCCUCUUGCCAUCAGAUGUGCCCAGAUGGGAUUAGCUAGUUGGUGAGGUAACGGCUCACCAAGGCGACGAUCCCUAGCUGGUCUGAGAGGAUGACCAGCCACACUGGAACUGAGACACGGUCCAGACUCCUACGGGAGGCAGCAGUGGGGAAUAUUGCACAAUGGGCGCAAGCCUGAUGCAGCCAUGCCGCGUGUAUGAAGAAGGCCUUCGGGUUGUAAAGUACUUUCAGCGGGGAGGAAGGUGUUGUGGUUAAUAACCGCAGCAAUUGACGUUACCCGCAGAAGAAGCACCGGCUAACUCCGUGCCAGCAGCCGCGGUAAUACGGAGGGUGCAAGCGUUAAUCGGAAUUA
RNAcentral lists this ribosomal RNA (561 nucleotides) under Salmonella enterica. RNAcentral's name for it is "bacterial SSU rRNA". It matches the Rfam family "Bacterial small subunit ribosomal RNA", at positions 1 to 553 of the family's 1533-position model. The record is from RNAcentral. RNAcentral also lists the same sequence under 1 other name. Lineage: Bacteria; Pseudomonadati; Pseudomonadota; Gammaproteobacteria; Enterobacterales; Enterobacteriaceae.